RNAcentral lists this ribosomal RNA (492 nucleotides) under uncultured bacterium. RNAcentral describes it as "partial 16S ribosomal RNA". It matches the Rfam family "Bacterial small subunit ribosomal RNA", at positions 28 to 507 of the family's 1533-position model. The record is from RNAcentral.
GGUGAACGCUGGCGGUAGGCCUAACACAUGCAAGUCGAACGGCAGCACAGUAAGAGCUUGCUCUUACGGGUGGCGAGUGGCGGACGGGUGAGGAAUACAUCGGAAUCUACUUUUUCGUGGGGGAUAACGUGGGGAAACUUACGCUAAUACCGCAUACGACCUACGGGUGAAAGCAGGGGAUCUUCGGACCUUGCGCGAUUGAAUGAGCCGAUGUCGGAUUAGCUAGUUGGCGGGGUAAAGGCCCACCAAGGCGACGAUCCGUAGCUGGUCUGAGAGGAUGAUCAGCCACACUGGAACCGAGACACGGUCCAGACUCCUACGGGAGGCAGCAGUGGGGAAUAUUGGACAAUGGGCGCAAGCCUGAUCCAGCCAUACCGCGUGGGUGAAGAAGGCCUUCGGGUUGUAAAGCCCUUUUGUUGGGAAAGAAAAGCAGCAGGUUAAUACCCCGCUGUUCUGACGGUACCCAAAGAAUAAGCACCGGCUAACUUCGUG